RNAcentral lists this ribosomal RNA (484 nucleotides) under uncultured bacterium. RNAcentral describes it as "partial 16S ribosomal RNA". It matches the Rfam family "Bacterial small subunit ribosomal RNA", at positions 29 to 507 of the family's 1533-position model. The record is from RNAcentral.
AUUGAACGCUGGCGGCAUGCCUUACACAUGCAAGUCGAACGGCAGCACGGGGGCAACCCUGGUGGCGAGUGGCGAACGGGUGAGUAAUACAUCGGAACGUGUCCUGUAGUGGGGGAUAGCCCGGCGAAAGCCGGAUUAAUACCGCAUACGCUCUACGGAGGAAAGGGGGGGAUCUUAGGACCUCCCGCUACAGGGGCGGCCGAUGGCAGAUUAGCUAGUUGGUGGGGUAAAGGCCUACCAAGGCGACGAUCUGUAGCUGGUCUGAGAGGACGACCAGCCACACUGGGACAGAGACACGGCGCAGACUCCUACGGGAGGCAGCAGUGGGGAAUUUUGGACAAUGGGGGCAACCCUGAUCCAGCAAUGCCGCGUGUGUGAAGAAGGCCUUCGGGUUGUAAAGCACUUUUGUCCGGAAAGAAAACGCCGUGGUUAAUACCCGUGGCGGAUGACGGUACCGGAAGAAUAAGCACCGGCUAACUACGUG